Molecule: non-coding RNA, 21 nt
Filed under: Chlamydomonas reinhardtii
Lineage: Eukaryota; Viridiplantae; Chlorophyta; Chlorophyceae; Chlamydomonadales; Chlamydomonadaceae
Also listed under: 1 other name
Source: RNAcentral
UGGAGCCUGCGGCUUAAUUUG